This is a non-coding RNA of Vicia faba (fava bean), 342 nucleotides long. NCBI's taxonomy places the organism in Eukaryota, Viridiplantae, Streptophyta, Magnoliopsida, Fabales, Fabaceae. The record is from the annotation of a GenBank genome assembly.
CGGCAAUUUAAAACCGAGAAAAAAUAUGCUAUUAACUUCCUAAACCUGUGUAUAACAAAAAUUUUAUUGUCUGAUAGAGUCUUUAACCAGAAACAGGAAUAUGAAAAGAAACACAAGAGAAUAAGAGAAGAGAAGCUUAAUUGCUUUGAUUCACAUUUAACAAACAUCUCUCACAGGGUACAUAACCUCGGUAAGGAAGAAACCUUUUUACAAUUUUCAACCCAUGAAAUAAUCACAGGUAAAAAGUCAGUGUUACAUAAUACAUAUAAUAACAACAUCAGCACCACCAAAAAUAAAAAUAGGUUGUUCAAACAUCAAUCCCAAAAAAUAAACAAAGAAUGA